Molecule: unclassified non-coding RNA, 526 nt
Filed under: Hevea brasiliensis (rubber tree)
Lineage: Eukaryota; Viridiplantae; Streptophyta; Magnoliopsida; Malpighiales; Euphorbiaceae
Source: RNAcentral
AGCACAGCAGCCGGAAACCCUAGGCCAAGACGACGAUGACUUGUCGGAGUCGGAGUCGGAGUCGGAAGAAGGGAUACAAGAACUGGAAGAAGAAAUACGGGAACUGGAACAACAAGUUCAACAAAUGGCUGAGAAAAUUGUGGAUUUCAGAAGUACACUUCCGGGUCAGCUUAAAACUACUCUCGAUUCCAUUCUUACUGCUCAAAGACCCCUUUUUGAUACCCCCGAAUCUCAACCUGGCUGCUCCAAUCAACCACCUACAUCUGACGUUGAAGAGCUUGGUGCCGCGUUAGCUGGAGAGGUGCAGAAAGAAGCUGAAAAAGCACAGCUCCUUAAGCAGAAGAUAGCAAGUAAUGCAUCUGCCAUGCCUAUUGUAUUGAACAGAAUGAAGGAAGGUAUGGCGAAGAUUGACAAACUACAGUCUAGCAAUAAAGUUAUUCAUCCUGCCUUUAGAAGGGGAAGAUCUAGCCGAUAAGCCCCUGCUAGAUCUGCUCGCUAUGGUAUAGAACACGUAGUUUCUUAUUAU